ACAAGUGUCUGGGUCAGCUGAAACUGUUAGUUUCAAAAACUCAAUCCUCAAAUACUAGAAGAACAGAAGAAUCAAAGAAAGCUGAAUAACUAAUGACUCCUCCAGAGGGAGAUCCACCUGCAUUAAGUCAGAGUCAGAUUGUUCCUAUUUAAAAAGGAGGAGGAGAAGAUGGCGGCGCGACACAGCUUGCGUGGCCUCUCCAGUAAAUGAUAUCUGUGAUCUGUCAAGUGGGGUGCCGUGCACAAUUCUGAUUUGAUGGAGACAGAC
This is a long non-coding RNA of Mobula hypostoma (lesser devil ray), 267 nucleotides long. RefSeq lists it as uncharacterized. The record is from RefSeq and is a predicted model, not a curated record. Lineage: Eukaryota; Metazoa; Chordata; Chondrichthyes; Myliobatiformes; Myliobatidae. The transcript is spliced from 3 exons.